UUUUUGCCUCUUAUGGGUGUGAGGCAUUUUAUAAUAAAGUUGCUGAAAUGGGGAGAAAAAUUUUUUAAAGAAGAAGAAAUGAAAUUUUUAUCAUUUCAAGUUUACAAUACAUUUUUGUGUCGAUAAAAGAUUCAAGCAAAAUACCCAUUAUUAUGAACUUGUAUCAUUUCAGGAGCCUAUUUGGUAAUAAGGUUCAUAUUAGUUUCCUCCCAAAAAGCUGAUUUUCACAUGAUACCAUAUGAGCCAAGCCUCACUACUGCAUCUCCAUCAUUAAAUACUCAAUAGCUGCUGAGUGAAAGUGAAUAAAUCCUAGCAGCUAUUGAUUAGCAAAUUUAUUUGCAAGCUUAUUGGCACUCUACAACUUAUUCCUUGUACUGUGAAGGGUACCUGAAACAUUUACUAUGUAGUAUAAAAGUCAAUAUUCUUGCAAUAAGUUUGUAG
RNAcentral lists this long non-coding RNA (441 nucleotides) under Bos taurus (domestic cattle). RNAcentral describes it as "long non-coding RNA NONBTAT026921". The record is from RNAcentral. Lineage: Eukaryota; Metazoa; Chordata; Mammalia; Artiodactyla; Bovidae.